Vidua chalybeata is the source of this 419-nucleotide long non-coding RNA. RefSeq lists it as uncharacterized. The record is from RefSeq and is a predicted model, not a curated record. Lineage: Eukaryota; Metazoa; Chordata; Aves; Passeriformes; Viduidae. The transcript has 4 exons.
CGGGUGCUGUGACCUGUGGAAUGAGCAGGGCUACCUGAAAGUCUGCAGUUUAAAAUUCAGUGCUGCUGUUAAGUUUGGGGGCACGAAGCAAAAUCAUGGAAGAAAAUGAUAAAAUUAUUAGUUAAAUGAGAAGCUCAGCUGGAUUUCAUCACCAGAGCAUCUUGGUGGAGGCUGCAGAAUUUGGCUUUAACAGUGCAGCAAGUUGGGAGGUACUUGCCUAUACAAAAUUAGAGUCCAGCUGACUUCAUUGGAGUCUGCGUGGGCAGCCACUGAGCCACACACUUUUAAUCCUGGAAGGAUUCACUCCCAGACAAGAAGAAAAAAGGUGAAAAUCUGAGAUCAUCAAGGUUUUGGGCAGAUCAGAUAAAACCGACAAUAAUUUGUGCCAAAACAAAUUGAAGAACAGCUUUAGUUUUCUU